This is an RNA transcript of Cercocebus atys (sooty mangabey), 1396 nucleotides long. It is a transcript of the gene named 60S ribosomal protein L6 pseudogene, with no coding region annotated. The record is from RefSeq and is a predicted model, not a curated record. The transcript has a single exon. Lineage: Eukaryota; Metazoa; Chordata; Mammalia; Primates; Cercopithecidae.
UUGGAGUGAAAAGCUCAAGAGAUGGAUUAAAAUAAGAAUAGACAUAAGUCCCUAUGGAGUUUUUUGGUUCAAUAAGUAAAGUAGGGAAAAUUAGAAUGAGAUCAUGUGGAGCAAGGACCUUGACCAGGAAACCGAGACCUGCUGUGCAGAGUAGGGAAAUUUCUAAACCAGUUACCACUGUCCAGCCCCCUUCUACAGUCUGGCUAAAGUAGCAAGAGGGAGGGAGGAAGGAGGGAACCAAGGGCAGCCAGUAGUGCCACCUUCUCUCCACCUUUGGAGAGGGACUUGAUUUCCAGCACCACCUCCCUGCCCUGCCCACACCAACAAUAACCAUUAAUGUUCCAAGCAUUUUACAUGUAUUAAUGUAUUAGCAUUUCAUCCUCACAAUCAUAGUAUAAGGUAAGUAUUAUUACUCUCUAUAAUUAAAACUAAGGUCCACAGAAUUAAGAAAGAAAUUUGGGUUAGUUCUCUUUCCCAUCUUGCAAGAUGGCAGGUGAAAAAGUUGAGAAGCCAGACACUAAAGAGAAGAAACCCGAAGCCAAGAAGGCUGAUGCUGGUGGCAAGGUGAAAAAGGGUAACCUCAAGGCUAAGAAGCCCAAGAAGGGGAAGCCCCACUGCAGCCGCAACCCUGUCCUUGUCAGAGGAAUUGGCAGGUAUUCCCGAUCUGCCAUGUGUUCCAGAAAGGCCAUGUACAACAGGAAGUACUCAGCCGCUAAAUCCAAGGUUGAAAAGAAAAAGAAGGUUCUUGCAACUCUUACAAAACCAGUUGGUGGUGACAAGAACGGUGGUACCCGGGUGGUUAAACUUCGCAAAAUGCCUAAAUAUUAUCCUACUGAAGAUGUGCCUUGAAAGCUGUUGAGCCACGGCAAAAAACCCUUCAAUCAGCACGUGAGAAAACUGCGAGCCAGCAUUACCCCCGGGACCAUUCUGAUCAUCCUCGCUGAAUGCCACAGGGGCAAGAGGGUGGUUUUCCUGAAGCAGCUGGCUAGUGGCUUGUUACCUGUGACUGGACCUCUGGUCCUCAAUUGAGUUCCUCUACGAAGAACACACCAGAAAUUUGUCAUUGCCACCUCAACCAAAAUCGAUAUCAGCAGUGUAAAAAUCCCAAAACAUCUUACUGAUGCUUACUUCAAGAAGAAGCUGCAGAAGCCCAGACACCAGGAAGGUGAGAUCUUCGACACAGAAAAAGAGAAAUACGAGAUUACAGAGCAGUGUGAGAUUGAUCAGAAAGCUAUGGACUCACAAAUUUUACCAAAAAUCAAAGAUGUUCCUCAGCUCCAGGGCUACCUGCGAUCUGUGUUUGUCCUGAUGAAUGGAAUUUAUCCUCACAAAUUGGUGUUCUAAAUGUCUUAAGAACCUCAUUAAAUAGCUAACUACAAAAAAAAAAAAAAAAAAA